CAGUAGCCGCGGGAAUACGUAGGUGGCAAGCGUUGUCCGGAUUUAUUGGGCGUAAAGCGAGCGCAGGCGGUUUCUUAAGUCUGAUGUGAAAGCCCCCGGCUCAACCGGGGAGGGUCAUUGGAAACUGGGAAACUUGAGUGCAGAAGAGGAGAGUGGAAUUCCAUGUGUAGCGGUGAAAUGCGUAGAUAUAUGGAGGAACACCAGUGGCGAAGGCGGCUCUCUGGUCUGUAACUGACGCUGAGGCUCGAAAGCGUGGGGAGCAAACAGGAUUAGAUACCCGAGUAGUCCCUGUCUCUUAUAC
RNAcentral lists this ribosomal RNA (301 nucleotides) under uncultured bacterium. RNAcentral describes it as "partial 16S ribosomal RNA". It matches the Rfam family "Bacterial small subunit ribosomal RNA", at positions 509 to 807 of the family's 1533-position model. The record is from RNAcentral.